UAAUCUUACAGUACAGUACCUUGAAAAGUACAGUAGUACCAGCACAACAGCUGACGCUUCUCAGCAGUACCAGCUACAUCACCGCUGCUUUUACGCUUGCUUCUGGACGUCCUGGGCUUGAAAUAAAGAUACUGUAUUACUGUGCUCUAUACAGUAUGGUACAGUAAAGUACACAAAAGCACAACCACUAGUAGAGGAUGCACACAUGUGACACUGUAUGCCAGAUGCGUGAACUGAUGUGAUUGGACAUGUGAAAGCACCUUUGCAUCUCUGAAAAUUUGCAACUUGAAGAAUGAUUUUCUCUGCCCAACAUCAUGCUGUUGUAGCCCUUGCAUCUCAGAGUCAUUAAUCUCAAAUCUCUUUUUUUGUUGGCGCUCUUCAAAAUGAAUGUGUCCAGCAUACCAGCACCUCCUGUGAUGGAAAGCUGCCCAGCGAAGUCCUUCCACAGGGAGAAAUGAAAUCCAUCUUUUCUGCUUCUCGUCACUGGUCCUGGUUCUGUCCUUUCUUGUCACCGGGACAACCUGAAGCAUCUCCAGUGUUUAACAGUCACUAGUCAGUGACCCCAACACCCUUUUGGGGACUGCAUUGCCAAAGGAGAUGAAGCAACGUCCAACUGGACAACGGCAUACAGCCUGCCUGUUCCCUAAUGCAGACUGUUGAUGGAAUACAGACAUGGGGUGAAUGGAUCCAUUUUGCAGACCACCACUCUGGAUGGGUCCUCCUGCUUCUCUUAUCUGAACCUGGAGCUCCCUUCUCCUUUAUUUUAACAAAGUGAACACUUUUGGUUGUUGACAUCAAACUCUGAGUUAUAAGAACGCCUGUCAAAGGCCUGUUGGAAAGUUCCUUGAAACCAGGUGGAUCGGACUGGUCCUUUAGUCCAGCUGUAGAUGCCCAUUGUGGGCAGACUGAGGAAGCGACCCUCUUACCAGGAUGUGCUUGAACAAGGCCCAGGACAUUAAAAAAAAAAAAAAAAAAUCUUGCAAUUACACUUUUCUACCACUAGAUGAUAUGCACGUAUAAGCAAGAUGAAAACCCUCCUACCUUUCCUUUCUGCAUCAGUGGCCACAGUGAUGAUAGGGGCCAUCAAAGUUUACCACGUGCCUAUGGGCCAAAUCCAGUUUACCACCUCUCUUUAUAAAUAAAGUUUUAUUAGAACACAGCCAUGCUCAUUUGUCUGGGACUGAUUUUGCUCCACAAUGACAGAGAUAAAGAAAGUGAUUAAGGACACAGUGAAUCCCGGCACAUACGUUAAAUGACUGUAGCAGACAUACAUGACAAAGGCUAGUUUAGGUAACUAACUGCCUCAGAGUCAUACCUCAUGAGGCGGAGAGGGGAGAAUCAGGAACUGGGUGAACCAACUUAAUCCUUUGUCCUGCAUGAAGAGAUGGGACCAUAUUGCCUAGAUUCCAAGGGUUUUCCACAUGGACAUGCCCCAAGCUCCUUCUCUCCCCUUCCUUUGCUCCAAGAAGACCUCUUCUAUUUUUUUUUUUUUUAAUGUGGUAUGCGGGCCUCCCUCUGUUGCGGCCUCUCCCGUUGCGGAGCACAGGCUCCGGACGCGCAGGCUCAUUGGCCAUGGCUCACGGGCCCAGCCGCUCCGCGGCACGUGGGAUCUUCCCAGACCGGGGCGCGAACCCGGUUCCCCUGCAUCGGCAGGCGGACGCGCAACCACUGCGCCACCAGGGAAGCCCGGACCUCUUCUAUUAUUCGUCCACAUUUUGAUGUCCUCUUUUCUUAGGAUAGAUACCCCAUCAUCCCUACAGAAAAGGAAGAUGCACUGGACUGUUCCUUCCACUCAAUCUUUGUUGACUCUAAGAAAGGUUUUCAUUACAGAAUGAAUGUUCCAAGUCCAGCUCUCUUUUCUUUAAUAUACAGGUACGUAGGUUCAAAUGUAUGUAUGUAUUUACAUAUUUACAGUUGAGUUUUGGUCUGGACAGGGUAUGUGGGAGAGUGUUAAGCUGAAAAUUGAUAAAGAUAAUCUGGGCUUUUGGAAUGUAGGAAAAGGGAAAAGGCUGAGUGAUCAGACACGGUCUUGUGACAGGUAAGUGAGUUAGGUUCUGAGGGAAUUUGGAUAUGUAAAGGAAGGGGCAUUUUAGAUUAUGUGGUGGAGAGGCAGGGGUAUGGGCUUGAAUGUGGGCACUGUGGGAUAAGAUAAUUCUGGUAAGGCCUGAAUUUAGGAGCUCAGAACUAUCAGGUUAAAGUUUGAACUGGAUCUCACAGUCCUGGAAAGAACUUUUUUUUUUUGCGUUACGCGGGCCUCUCACUGUUGUGUCCCCUCCCGCUGCAGAGCAUGGGCUCCGGACGCGCAGGCCCAGCGGCCACGGCUCACGGGCCCAGCCGCUCCGCGGCAUGCGGGAUCCUCCCAGACCGGGGCACGAACCCGCGUCCCCUGCAUCGGCAGGCGGAUUCUCAACCACUGCGCCACCAGGGAAGCCCAGAACCAGGACUUUUGACUAGAGAAUUAUCACUGACUAUGAACAUUUCAAGGGUCUGAUCCAGAGCUGCCUCGGAAGGGUGAUUUCCCCUUGGAGCUUGUCUCUCUGGGGACAGAAGGACGGACACAGAUGAUGAAGUGUAUAGUCUGCUGGAGAAAGGCCAUCUCACCAUGAGUCUUUGGCGGGAAAGAGUUGUAAGAAUGUCGUCUUUCAUCAGCUGGUGUCACUCUUUGGAACCAGUCACAAGUAGCUGGGUGUGGUAGGGUGAAGUUGUCUGAAGUCUGAACGAAGAAAAAUAUAUUGACUACUGCCGGUUUUAAAAAAGGACAUCACAGGCCUCAGUUUGUCCACCUUGCUUAAGAAAACUCCUUACCAGAGCAGACAAUCAACUGGUGUCAGCCCAUCAGUUAUCACUAUUCUCGGCUCAGCCGCCAAGAGAUGAAUGAGUUAGAUUCAACUGUCAUUGAAGCCCUUCGAUAGACAUCACCUCACUUAGAGGUCACAACAACCCUUUGAGUGAAUCAUCUUCAUGGGUCAUCUCUGUCUGCUCCCCCUGGAGGGGCCACUGAAAUGGAGUCGGGGGACAGGACAGGAGAAGAUCCAGUGUGACAGGCCAUGGCUAGUUGGAGUACAACACCUGGGGAAUGUCUGGAAACAUUUCAGAUGUGCUGACAGCGAGCUUUCCUCUCUGUGCUGCCCAGCUUCAGCUCGGUUUCUGCUAAGAUCUCUGGAGGUUCACAGGGAGUGAAGGCCUCAUUGCCCUGGUCUGUGUUGUUUGUCCUUGGCUUUAAUUGCCACUUGUGUCCUGAGCUAUAUGGUAAUAGCACUAACAGCUAACAUUUGUUGACUGCUUACUAUGUGCCACUGUGCGAAGAGAUUUACGCACAUUACCUCAUUGAUCUUGUUACAACCCUGUGAAGUUUUGCUAUCCUCGUUUCACAAAUGGGAAAACUGAGGUGUGGAAAGCUGUGACUUACCCAUUGGGGUAUGUCUAAUCAGUGGCCCAGCUGGGAUUUGAAUCCAAGUCUGUUCUCCACCAAAUCACUCAUUCUUUGUCUGCCGUUCUGUACUGCCAGUAGGAUUAGGGUUGAGAUUCCUGAUAGUGAUCUGGAAGGAUUUCCAGCACUAAAAGUGACUCAAAUGGGAAGACUCAUCAGUUGCACAGACCAAAAGGUUGGGCUCCCGUCAGGUGGGGAUAAAUGAGAGGAAGCCGUCAGCUUUACGGAAGUGCAAAUGUGCCAGUGCACUUACAAAUGAACGUCUCCAGUCAAAUCUGAGUCCUUUGUUUCGAGAUAAUCUGGCUCUCAUUGUAACCCCCAGCUUCAGGUAGCAAAUAUAUGCUGAAUACUUUUCUGGAUGAGACCACUGGAGGCUGUAGUUGUUGUUUAAGGCACCUGAGUUCCAUUACAGACUAUACAUGGUUUAAUCUUACAUUUAAGUGUUUGAAUGUGUGUGAGAGAGAUGUCAAGGGGUCCAGGAGUUUUCUUCAUUAUCUGCCAGAAGGCUUCAGCCUAGUGGAGUCAGAUAGACAUGGGUUCGAAUCCCCACUCUGGUAUAUAUAAGCCACGAGAACUUUGGCAAAUUAUCGUUCUUCCAGUCUUAAUUUCUUCGUCUUUAAAGAGGAGAUAAUAGUACCUGCUUCAAGGUGGUGCUGUGAGGAUUAAACCCUAUACACACGCAGUGCUUGGAGCACAGUAAGUGCUCGAAAAUUGGUAACAGGUAUUGUUCUCGGUGACCCUGCUUUGUCUAAGAAGAGGCACUGAUGGAUUGUUGGUGGCAUUAAGUCCAUGUCCUCUGCUGUGUUGGUGAUGUCCUAUUUGAAAAUGAAAAGGAAUUUUUUUCUGAAUCUCCUCAGCAUCUUGCUGCCACAGAAAAAGAAAUCUGUUUCCACAAAGAGAAGCAAGAACUGGAGACACUGGAAGUUUAUGGACUGGAGAAGGCGGCUCCGAGAAGAAGAGCAUUCUGGCGAUCAGCGACGCUCUCCUGAGCCGCCCAGAUGUGGGCCAGAUGCUGCAAAUCUGUAGAGACACGUCAGGCUCAGUGACUUGUGCCAUGACUUUCAUCCACGUGGGCAUGGAGGAUAUUGACUGAUCUCACUCCGAUUAUUAAGAGUGACUUCAGGGCUCUGGAAACAUGGGUGUAGGAGGCUGGGACUCGAGGGGUAGUCUUGACAAUCCUCCCAGUUGAUCAGAAGGGUUUCUGGAGCUGACAGCCCUGCUCUGGGGAUACAUGUCUACUUCACAUGCCUCGCCCCACACCACCCAUAGAAGAGGGCUCAGCAGGAAACACUGAGGAUACUUCAAUGGGAAGUGAUUUGCAAUUUCUGCCUUUGCAGACAUCAUCUCUAGCGACUUUUAUUUGGUGUUAUUAAAGAUGCUUUUGAUGUGAUCUUAACUGUAGUGAUUCUUCCUAUAAUCGCUUUCUCUUUAAUUAGCCUGUAUGGCCCCUUUUCUAGCUGGAAUUUCACUAUACUGCUCAGCCUUCCAUUCCAUGCUUUUUAAAAAAUAGGAAUACUAUUUGUGUAAUUGAACUAUAGUUGAUUUACGAUAUUAUGUUAGUUUCAGGUAUAUAGCAUAGUGAUUCAGUGUUUGGCAGGUUAUACUCCAUUAUAAGUUAUUACAAAAUAAUGGCUAUAAUUCUCUGCGCUAUAUAGUAUAACCUUGUUGCUUAUCUAUUUUAUAUAUAGUAGUUUGUAUCUGUUUAUACCAUACCCCUAAUUUGCCCCUCCC
Physeter macrocephalus (sperm whale) is the source of this 5161-nucleotide long non-coding RNA. RefSeq lists it as uncharacterized. The transcript is spliced from 14 exons. The record is from RefSeq and is a predicted model, not a curated record. NCBI's taxonomy places the organism in Eukaryota, Metazoa, Chordata, Mammalia, Artiodactyla, Physeteridae.